UCUGAGCAGAUCAAUUGAAUACUGUGAUGACUGCCUGUGUGAAGGGUGCCUCUAUUUGUCUCCACCAGAUAAACAAAUAUUCCCUUGCCUCCUUCUGAGCCCUGCCCAUAAGAGAUCCGUCUUGUUUGCACAUUUGCAUUAAAAAUUAUUUUGUGACAGUCAUUUUUGGCUGAAAGAGGCUCCAGGUUGAGCCGCCCAGGCUGGACCCUCACCUAGAGUCUGGGUUCUCGUAUGUGGCACAAGUUGCUGGGACUUCUGCACGGACUAAAUUCCUGUGCAAUCGUGGGAUACUGGGACUUCUGGAACAGCCAAAUCCCCCUGCAGACGUGGAGCUACAUGGAUGCGUCUCCAAAGCUCCAAUAAGCAUCAAACAAACAAA
Long non-coding RNA from Hyalella azteca, 379 nucleotides. RefSeq lists it as uncharacterized. The record is from RefSeq and is a predicted model, not a curated record. The transcript is spliced from 2 exons. Lineage: Eukaryota; Metazoa; Arthropoda; Malacostraca; Amphipoda; Hyalellidae.